GUUUCACAUUGGCUAAAUCAGUCAAUGUUGUUUAUGCUCCGGCGGCAGUAGAGGAAUAGAGCUGACAAGGAAGGGAUCUGUUGGUGGAAUUAACAGGGAAAGUAAUUCAUGAAGUGCCUGGUUGGACCAAGAGCUUGUCCGGUAGUGCUCACGACAAAUAUCUACAAUGAAGAACGAAACACUUGAAGAUAGGCUACCAAUUCGGUGUUGGACUCAGGUUUAGACACUGGGGCACGUGAUGUGUCAAUCAAACAUACUAUAGCCCUCAUAUAACGGAUGAUGCUGUUUGCAUAUUAAGAAUUGAAUGAUGCAAAGAGAUUCAUGAUGUAGAAGAACUUACAAGGAUGCCCCUAUAUAAUCUGCUCCACAUUGGCUUGAAGAGAUGCAAAUGUUGCAACUUCGCCGGAGGUUCUAUGUUGGAAGUUGUGUGGGUGGGUGGUUAAAGAUCCAGAGGUUAGCUAUUCCUUGCAGCUUAUAUCAUGGAACAGGACACCAAGUCAUUGCCAGAGUCUCAUAAUACCAUAUCCUCUUGGGGUCGUCCUAUACUGGGUCCACACUAUUGUCGCUUAUGCCGUCCCGGUAAAUAUAUAGACAAGGGAGUGUGUAUAGCGGACGAGGAUCAUCCAGCAUGCUGCUGGCCAUUUGAUCCUGUGACGUGCUAGAUGCAACCACCUCGACAAGCUGCUUGCUGGAUGAGAGGGCGACUUAGGACAUGAUCAAGUUUGCCCA
Triticum aestivum (bread wheat) is the source of this 729-nucleotide long non-coding RNA. RefSeq lists it as uncharacterized. The transcript is spliced from 6 exons. The record is from RefSeq and is a predicted model, not a curated record. NCBI's taxonomy places the organism in Eukaryota, Viridiplantae, Streptophyta, Magnoliopsida, Poales, Poaceae.